ACACCGUUGGUGAAGUGGUUAUCAUGCUUGCCUUCCAUUUUAAUAACUGUGAUGUAAUGUGAGCAAGCGGCUCGGGUUCGAUUCCCGAACGGUGUA
This is a transfer RNA of Moniliophthora roreri MCA 2997, 96 nucleotides long. It matches the Rfam family "tRNA". Rfam says of the family: Transfer RNA (tRNA) molecules are approximately 80 nucleotides in length. The record is from Rfam. NCBI's taxonomy places the organism in Eukaryota, Fungi, Basidiomycota, Agaricomycetes, Agaricales, Marasmiaceae.